Molecule: RNA transcript, 3698 nt
Organism: Clarias gariepinus (North African catfish)
Lineage: Eukaryota; Metazoa; Chordata; Actinopteri; Siluriformes; Clariidae
Exons: 4
Source: RefSeq, a predicted model, not a curated record
GAAACUGACUCGGCCUGGUGUUGAGAGAACGCUCGCAAGCUACAUUAAAGUCCUACAUGAUGUCCUGCCAUGUACAUAUAAAGUUUACAGUAACCGUAUUUAAACAGAUCCAGCAGUUUAUCACCUGAAGCUCAGCGGCAGGAAUCUCCAGUAAAGAUCAGAUGAGUGUUGGAUUACAGUCGUUAUUAUAAUAUUUAUAUAAGAUUUAUAGGAAGGUUAUUUACAGCACCAGAGUCACCGGGAGAGGCCACGCCAUCACUGUGUACACCACUGAAGUCCCAACACAGAGUGAUGGAGAAGUGAUGAGGAGCUGAAGCGUUGAAGUUCGACACAGAACCCAUGGAGAGAAACCGUCUAAAGAGAAGUCAUGAGAAAUGCUCCGGAGCCGCAGGGGUGAUAACAUACAAAAGAAAAUAUUCCAUAAACCGAGCCCGAGCCGGACGCAGCAGAAAAGUGGCAGAAACCUUUGAACAUGAGGCAGGGGAAGGUGGUGUGUGUGCGGACGAGGAGCUGGAGCCCCUCAGCGUGGACGAUUAUCAGACGCUCCUGCAGCUCUUAAACAUUAACCUGCCUGCCGGAGCUUUAAACCCUGACGUCACCGAACGCUCGACACACCCUGACGUCAUCAGGGACUCGAAAGCAAUACUGCGAGAUCUGAGGAAAGCUACACUGACGGUAGUGGAUAAACCUCGUGUGUCUUGUGUGAAGGUUAAACAAACUCAUGACCUGAAGGAGAAAGGAAAUAUCACAGACAUCACACAGCUUUUAUUCUUUAAACCACGGAGAAGAGGCUCUGAGAGAACCUUAAAGGAGCGCUGGGAAACAAACGCUCCCAAAGCCGGUUGCAGGUUCCGGAUGAGGGAUGCGUUCACUGAGACGCCGAUGUCCACACCGGAAAAGUCGUCCGGUUCCACAGGACACGCAAAAGCAUGCUUUGGGAUUCCAGCAGAGAACCGAAACAACGAGACAGACUGCUUCAGAUUCUUCCUCCAAGAGAAAGGGCUUGAUAUAGAAGACGUGACCUACAAAAGGGAAUAUGUGGUGGAAUCUGGCUUCAUCUCUGGAAGGUUGGACUUUUUAUUAGACGUUAGAAAUCCACCUGAAAGCACUAACGUGUCGCAGAGUGAGAAAAUCAUAAUCGAGUGUAAAGGUACAAAAGGCAGUAUGGUGGGAGGCGUGUUCGCUUUACCACAAGGAGAAGGACAUCGGGUCGAACUCAACAAGUCACAUGACUAUUACUAUCAAACUCAGGCAUACCUGCACAUCCUGAAGAAGGAACUGAGUCCAGUCCCAGUGAGAGCUGUGAUUGUGGUGAAACUCGCUGCUGAAGAUAAAAACCCGAAGUUCUACUGGGGCGAGGUGAGCGAGGACACGGAGCGGAUCGAGAAACUGAACAAUUUCUGCCAGAAGGAGGCGCUGCCUCGAUUCCUCGCUGUCCUCAACCUCAUCUUUCAGAGAGUGGAGGGAGGAGAAAGAGCUGGAGUGAUGAAAAGAGACGAGAAGAUGGAGAGAGAUGAGAAGAUGGAGAGAGACGAGAAGAUGGAGAGAGAUGAGACGAUGGAGAGAGAGGGUGCUGGAGAAGUGAGAAGGGAGAAAAAGACAGAGGGAGACUGAAGAGAAAGACAUGGAAUCAGCACUUCAUCAUUUAUUGGAAAUUUUGUAUGAACUCUGAUUGAAGCUGAAAUGGUUCAGUGUUUGUUGUGUAGAAACACUGAACAGUGUGUGAUGUCGUGUGUAAUCACCAGCUACUAAGAUACUUUAAUAUACUGUAAUAUAAUGGACACACUAAUAUAACACAAAUACACACACACACACACACACACACACACACACACACACAAACAUUAAAUUAUGUAAGUAAGUAACACGUAGUUGUGUAAGGCGCAGUGUAAAUGCCCCACUCUACACCCAUCUAUUUAUUUAGUGUUAAACAUCUGUUAGUGGAACACAUCUGGCUGAGAUGUGACGAGGUGUUGGUGGUGUUGGAGUCAGAAUCAUCUCAAAACCCUGAUGUAGAGACAUUAGAGAGCGCAGGUACAACAUCCAACUAAUAAAUAAUUUUUAUUAAUAUAAAGUUAAAUAAAAGUUUACCACACACACACACACACACACACACACAUGCACUUUGGGUGUAGACAUCCUGAUGAUCACACAAAUGUAACCCAGCCCACAUCCAGUGCGUCGUCUCAAAGCUCAUAAUCGUCUCCUAAUCACUGCAGCAUUUCAAAUCUUUUUCUUCUUCCUUGUUUUUGUUUAAAUCUCUUUCCCGCUGUACACCGGCCGUGACCCUCGGAACCCUCAGGUUUCUUCAUUUUACUCAGCGUAGGUAAAGGACCCUGACGCCCAACAGAAAUAUUACAGCCGAAUUGUCUGUAAAGUCAGGAGAAGAAAAAGGUGCAGUGAUGGCAGAACAUAUCACACACACUGAUGAAAGUGAGGAGGAGCUGGAAACUUUCAAUGUGGAUGAUUAUGAAAAACUCCUGGAGAUAUUAAAGAUUAAACUCCCUAAAGGAGUUCUGACACCAGCAGCGAUCGCUCGGUCCACACACACAAAGGUCAUCGCAGAUGCAGAACUCAUCAAACAAGCUCUGAAAAGAUGCGAACUCAGAGUCGCUCCAAUUCCGCGUCUGGCCUGCGGGAAAAUUGAACAGGCCCUGCAACUACAAGAGGAAAAUGAAAUUCAAGCCAUCACAGAGAUGAUAUUUUUUAGAGAUGCUGAAGACUCAGAAAAUGAGACUCUAAAGCAGCGAUGGGAAAACUCCAGACAGCCUCGCAGUGGAUUCCGUAUAAGAAAGUCAUAUCAAGAGUCCUCUCCAGGAGAAGGAGGAGGAGCUUCUGGUUUUUGGUAUCUAAAUUAUGAUGAAAACCAAAGGAACAUAAUGGAGUCCUUUCAGUUUUACUUGGCACAAAAGGGGCUCACUGAAGAGGAUGUGAACUGCAAAAAGAAUGGAAAGCUGGACUUUGGAUUUUUCUCUGGAAAGCUAGACUUUCUAGUAGAAAUCAAAAGAUCUCCUGAUGACUCCAGACCCACUGAGAAGAUCAUCAUAAAAUGCAAAAGCACAGAAAGAAGCAUGGCAGCACGGAUCUUCACUCAGCCACAAGAGGGAUCUCAGGCUGAAUUCAACCCUUCCCAUCAACUCUACCUGCAGACUCAGGCCUACCUGUUCAUGCUGAAGGAGAAGGAGAGGGAGAUGAUUGAAGCAAACCGGGUUCCCGUCAGUGCGGUGAUGGUUAUAAAGGUCAAACCGGACAGUUUCUACUGGGGCGAGGUGAGCGACGACAUACGGAGGUUGGAGCAACUGAACAACUUCUGCAAAACUGAAGCACUGCCUCGAUUCCUGGCUGUUCUUCACCUCAUCUUUGAGAAAGAGUGAGCUAGACCUAACCUGUGGCCUCAUGAUUAGACAAAACUAUAAUUGUUUUGUGAGCUUGUAGAUCUUUUUCUUUUUCCAUUCAUCACCCCCUGUAACCACACUUUAGUACCUUUUUUUUUUUUUUUUUUUUGCAAGUACCUUCUGGGGUAGUUAGAGCCUCAGGAUGAAUUAAGCUUCUCUAUACACUUCUGCAUAAAGUUUAACCUAAACAUCUUUAUAAAAUGUUUCUUUUCUAUUGCUGUUAUCAUUAAAUCAUGUGUUAAUGCCAUGUCAGUGUUUGGUUUCUCUUUUUUUACUCCAUCGUCUGUAUGACCUGACAGUAUA